This 465-nucleotide ribosomal RNA is filed under the name Vreelandella stevensii. RNAcentral's name for it is "partial 16S ribosomal RNA". It matches the Rfam family "Bacterial small subunit ribosomal RNA", at positions 338 to 795 of the family's 1533-position model. Lineage: Bacteria; Pseudomonadati; Pseudomonadota; Gammaproteobacteria; Oceanospirillales; Halomonadaceae. The record is from RNAcentral.
CCUACGGGAGGCUGCAGUGGGGAAUAUUGGACAAUGGGGGGAACCCUGAUCCAGCCAUGCCGCGUGUGUGAAGAAGGCCCUCGGGUUGUAAAGCACUUUCAGUGAGGAAGAACGCCUGGUGGUUAAUACCCAUCAGGAAAGACAUCACUCACAGAAGAAGCACCGGCUAACUCCGUGCCAGCAGCCGCGGUAAUACGGAGGGUGCGAGCGUUAAUCGGAAUUACUGGGCGUAAAGCGCGCGUAGGUGGCUUGAUAAGCCGGUUGUGAAAGCCCCGGGCGCAACCUGGGAACGGCAUCCGGAACUGUCAAGCUAGAGUGCAGGAGAGGAAGGUAGAAUUCCCGGUGUAGCGGUGAAAUGCGUAGAGAUCGGGAGGAAUACCAGUGGCGAAGGCGGCCUUCUGGACUGACACUGACACUGAGGUGCGAAAGCGUAGGUAGCAAACAGGAUUAGAUACCCUGGUAGUC